RNAcentral lists this ribosomal RNA (797 nucleotides) under uncultured Glomus. RNAcentral's name for it is "SSU rRNA". It matches the Rfam family "Eukaryotic small subunit ribosomal RNA", at positions 314 to 1114 of the family's 1831-position model. Lineage: Eukaryota; Fungi; Glomeromycota; Glomeromycetes; Glomerales; Glomeraceae. The record is from RNAcentral.
AUCAACUUUCGAUGGUAGGAUAGAGGCCUACCAUGGUGGUAACGGGUAACGGGGUGUUAGGGCACGACACCGGAGAGGGAGCCUGAGAAACGGCUACCACAUCCAAGGAUGGCAGCAGGCGCGCAAAUUACCCAAUCCCGACACGGGGAGGUAGUGACAAUAAAUAACAAUACGGGGUUCUUAAGGAUCUCGUAAUUGGAAUGAGUACAAUUUAAAUCUCUUAACGAGGAACAAUUGGAGGGCAAGUCUGGUGCCAGCAGCCGCGGUAAUUCCAGCUCCAAUAGCGUAUAUUAAAGUUGUUGCAGUUAAAAAGCUCGUAGUUGAAUUUCGGGGUUAGUAGGUUGGUCAUGCCUCUGGUAUGUACUGGUCUCACUGAUUCCUCCUUCCUUAUGAACCGUAAUGCCAUUAAUUUGGUGUUGCGGGGAAUUUGGACUGUUACUUUGAAAAAAUUAGAGUGUUUAAAGCAGGCUAACGCUUGAAUACAUUAGCAUGGAAUAAUGAAAUAGGACGUUCGAUCUUAUUUUGUUGGUUUCUAGGAUUGACGUAAUGAUUAAUAGGGAUAGUUGGGGGCAUUAGUAUUCAAUUGUCAGAGGUGAAAUUCUUGGAUUUAUUGAAGACUAACUACUGCGGAAGCAUUUGCCAAGGAUGUUUUCAUUAAUCAAGAACGAAAGUUAGGGGAUCGAAGACGAUCAGAUACCGUCGUAGUCUUAACCAUAAACUAUGCCGACUAGGGAUCGGAUGAUGUUAUUUUUAAUGACUCAUUCGGCGCCUUACGGGAAACCAAAGUGUUUGGGUUC